Molecule: ribosomal RNA, 253 nt
Filed under: uncultured bacterium
Lineage: Bacteria
Description: partial 16S ribosomal RNA
Rfam family: Bacterial small subunit ribosomal RNA
Source: RNAcentral
UACGUAGGGUGCAAGCGUUAAUCGGAAUUACUGGGCGUAAAGCGUGCGCAGGCGGUUUUGUAAGACUGUCGUGAAAUCCCCGGGCUCAACCUGGGAAUGGCGAUGGUGACUGCAAGGCUAGAGUUUGGCAGAGGGGGGUGGAAUUCCGCGUGUAGCAGUGAAAUGCGUAGAGAUGCGGAGGAACACCGAUGGCGAAGGCAGCCCCCUGGGCUGACACUGACGCUCAGGCACGAAAGCGUGGGGAGCGAACAGG